GUGCCAGCCGCCGCGGUAAGACGAACCGUACGAACGUUAUUCGGAAUCACUGGGCUUAAAGGGUGCGUAGGCGGCGCGGAAAGUUGGGUGUGAAAGCCCUCGGCUUAACCGAGGAAUUGCGCCCAAAACUGCCGUGCUUGAGGGAGACAGAGGUGAGCGGAACUUAGGGUGGAGCGGUGAAAUGCGUUGAUAUCCUAAGGAACACCGGUGGCGAAAGCGGCUCACUGGGUCUCUUCUGACGCUGAGGCACGAAAGCUAGGGGAGCGAACGGGAUUAGAAACCCUCGUAGUCC
Molecule: ribosomal RNA, 292 nt
Filed under: uncultured bacterium
Lineage: Bacteria
Description: partial 16S ribosomal RNA
Rfam family: Bacterial small subunit ribosomal RNA
Source: RNAcentral